UACGGAGGGAGCUAGCGUUAUUCGGAAUUACUGGGCGUAAAGCGUACGUAGGCGGCUUUGUAAGUUAGAGGUGAAAGCCUGGAGCUCAACUCCAGAACUGCCUUUAAAACUGCAUCGCUUGAAUCCAGGAGAGGUGAGUGGAAUUCCGAGUGUAGAGGUGAAAUUCGUAGAUAUUCGGAAGAACACCAGUGGCGAAGGCGGCUCACUGGACUGGUAUUGACGCUGAGGUACGAAAGCGUGGGGAAGCAAACAGGG
Molecule: ribosomal RNA, 255 nt
Filed under: uncultured bacterium
Lineage: Bacteria
Description: partial 16S ribosomal RNA
Rfam family: Bacterial small subunit ribosomal RNA
Source: RNAcentral